Molecule: long non-coding RNA, 1236 nt
Organism: Astatotilapia calliptera (eastern happy)
Lineage: Eukaryota; Metazoa; Chordata; Actinopteri; Cichliformes; Cichlidae
Source: Ensembl
UCCUAUUAAUAAACGGUUAAGGAAUGUGUAUUUAUGACGACGAUUUGUGAGACUGGUAAACUUAUGAUACGUACGAUGGUCUUUCGUUCUACACGGUGCAUUUCAAGGUCCUGCACCCAUCCGUCGGUAAACUGUACCUGGGCUUGUUGCAGUGACCUGAAGUUACUAAACUUCAUGAGUGUGUGCACUCACUCCAAGAACCGUAUGAUUAUAAAUAUGCAUAUAAAUAUGCUAAGAUGAGAUAGCUGACUUCAUCUAACUAGCAAAUGUUGUCCAGGCUACGUUGGUGAUACAGUUUUUUUUAAUGUGUAUGACAUUUUUGUCAUGCGAUUUUAAAGCUGGUCCUACAACCGCAUCCAAGAAUAACAUGCAGCUUAUCUCAGAACUGUCGGUGAAAAUUAUUCUUGGAGCUAGGUUUAAUUGAGCUGCAUUUUAAAGAGGUGCAAUUUCACAAUUUGUGUAUAUUUUCUAAGUUCACUAUUUUGUAUGUGUUGAGAAAAACACAGAUUUUAAAAUUACAUGGUCUAAUAUUUACAUUUAGCAUAACUGCAACAUGCCUUUUUUCUUUUUUUCUUUUUUUUAAAGACUCGAAAGGACUUGAAAUUCAAAGUUUCAGACUUGUGACUUGACUCGGACUUUUACACCAGUGACUUGAGACUCGACUCUGACUUGCCUGACAUUACUUGAGACUUGACUUGAGACUUGAGGAUAAAGACUUGAGACUUACUUGAGACUUGCAAAACAAUGACUUGGUCCCACCUCUGGGAAUAGUUACUGAAACGUGGUCCUAAUACACUGCUCAAAAAUCAGUCAAUCAAUCAAAUAAAGGAACACUUUGAAAACACAUCAGAUCUCAAUGGAGAAAACGUUAUGCUGGAUAAAUGAAAAUGAUGAAACUAUGGAGGGUUAAAUUUGAAGAAAGUCCAUUUUCCUAAAAUUCCAUUGCAGCAACUCACAGUGAUACUCAGCAGUUUGUGUGACCCCCACAUGCUUGCAUGCAUGACUGAUAAUGUCUGGAUAUGCUCGUAAUGAGAUGACGGAUGAUGUCCUAGGGGACAUUCACACCAGUGUCCUGCUGGAGGUCGUUUUGUAGGGCUGUAGCAGCGAUCGUCCUGUUCCUCCUUAAACAAAGGAGCAGAUACUGGUCCUGCUGAUGGGUUAAGGACCGGCUGUACUAGACUAACUGCCAGUGUCCUGGAAUCUCCUGCAUGAUGUUAAAACUGUGCUGGGAUUCAC